This 513-nucleotide ribosomal RNA is filed under the name Dacus langi. Its description in RNAcentral is "partial 16S ribosomal RNA". It matches the Rfam family "Bacterial large subunit ribosomal RNA", at positions 1819 to 2597 of the family's 2925-position model. The record is from RNAcentral. Lineage: Eukaryota; Metazoa; Arthropoda; Insecta; Diptera; Tephritidae.
GUCUUUUUGGGUUAAAUUUAAAGUCUGGCCUGCCCACUGAGUUUUAAAUGGCCGCAGUAUUCUAACUGUGCAAAGGUAGCAUAAUCAUUAGUCUUUUAAUUGGAGGCUGGUAUGAAUGGUUGGACGAGGUAUGUACUGUUUCAUAUAGAUUUAUGUUAGAAUUUUAUUUUUUAGUUAAAAAGCUAAAAUAAUGUUAAAAGACGAGAAGACCCUAUAAAUCUUUAUAUUUUAUGUUGUUUAAAUUUUAUUGUUUUGUUUUAUUUUAAUUAUAUAAAAUAUUUUGUUGGGGUGAUGUUAAAAUUUAAUGAACUUUUAAUUAUUUUUUUUAGUCAUUGAUUUAUGUAUUAUUGAUCCGUUAGUAAUGAUUAUCAGAUUAAGUUACUUUAGGGAUAACAGCGUAAUUUUUUUGGAGAGUUCUUAUCGAUAAAAAAGGUUGCGACCUCGAUGUUGGAUUAAGAGAUAGAUUUAGGUGUAGCUGCUUAAAGGCUGAGUCUGUUCGACUUUUAAAUUCUU